UCUCAUCUUAUCUGACGAUCUUGAACCACCUGCGCGUGCACGAAUGGCGAGCUACCACAUGAAGCCGGCCUUCCAGUUCCUGGUGCUUUUCCUGGUUCUUCUCGGAUGCUUCGCAUCUCGCGCUCAGAGUCAAGGACAUGGGCCGGACAUAUUCUCGUGUGAGAGGCAGUUGAUGCGGCCAUGCGACUUGUGUUACUGCUGCUUGUAUGGCAACAAUAAGGGAAAGUGCUAUGCAACCCAUGCGGUCUGCAAACUGAACUGCCAUCUGCCUAAAUUCACCCUCCCAUGAAGAACCUGAACAUUUCUUGUCUCUCAUGUAGUACGUCUGUAUUACUUCUUAAUGCAUACUCUGAAGAAUAAUUGGGCGGAAUCAACUGAUGAUA
Molecule: long non-coding RNA, 383 nt
Organism: Triticum dicoccoides
Lineage: Eukaryota; Viridiplantae; Streptophyta; Magnoliopsida; Poales; Poaceae
Exons: 2
Source: RefSeq, a predicted model, not a curated record